RNAcentral lists this ribosomal RNA (293 nucleotides) under uncultured bacterium. RNAcentral's name for it is "partial 16S ribosomal RNA". It matches the Rfam family "Archaeal small subunit ribosomal RNA", at positions 455 to 747 of the family's 1478-position model. The record is from RNAcentral.
GUGCCAGCCGCCGCGGUAAUACCGGCAGCCCGAGUGAUGGCCGAUGUUAUUGGGCCUAAAGCGUCCGUAGCUGGCCAUGCAAGUCCACUGGGAAAUCCACCCGCUCAACGGGUGGGCGUCCAGCGGAAACUGUCCGGCUUGGGGCCGGACGACCCGAGGGGUACGUCCGGGGUAGGAGUGAAAUCCUGUAAUCCUGGACGGACCGCCGGUGGCGAAAGCGCCUCGGGAGGACGGACCCGACGGUGAGGGACGAAAGCCAGGGUCUCGAACCGGAUUAGAUACCCCAGUAGUCC